CAGCAGCCGCGGGAAAACGAAGGGGGCUAGCGUUGUUCGGAUUUACUGGGCGUAAAGCGCACGUAGGCGGAUCGAUCAGUCAGGGGUGAAAUCCCAGAGCUCAACUCUGGAACUGCCUUUGAUACUGUCGAUCUGGAGUAUGGAAGAGGUGAGUGGAAUUCCGAGUGUAGAGGUGAAAUUCGUAGAUAUUCGGAGGAACACCAGUGGCGAAGGCGGCUCACUGGUCCAUUACUGACGCUGAGGUGCGAAAGCGUGGGGAGCAAACAGGAUUAGAUACCCCAGUAGUCCCUGUCUCUUAUAC
This 301-nucleotide ribosomal RNA is filed under the name uncultured bacterium. Its description in RNAcentral is "partial 16S ribosomal RNA". It matches the Rfam family "Bacterial small subunit ribosomal RNA", at positions 509 to 807 of the family's 1533-position model. The record is from RNAcentral.